This 237-nucleotide long non-coding RNA is filed under the name Ananas comosus (pineapple). RNAcentral describes it as "long non-coding RNA (ACOM_LNC030512)". Lineage: Eukaryota; Viridiplantae; Streptophyta; Magnoliopsida; Poales; Bromeliaceae. The record is from RNAcentral.
UGUUCUUGAGCUGGAAUUGAGAUUUUCUUGAUGUUUUUGGAUCCGAAUGCCUUGAGAGCUUGAUUUUUGAAGUGGGAAUUGGUCUUCCAUUAUCCUCUACUGGUUUUGAACCUGUCCAUCACCUGAAUUGCAAUUUGGAAGGUGAGUUUAGCUCAGAUUUUGGAUAAUUGAGCUUAUAUAUGCCGAUUUUUUAGGUUUUGAUGGAAAAUCUUGAAUCUAGAUUUGGAUGGUGAACCU